UACGUAGGUGACAAGCGUUGUCCGGAUUUACUGGGCGUAAAGAGCGCGCAGGCGGUCGAUCAAGUCGAGUGUGAAAGCCCCCGGCUCAACUGGGGAGGGUCAUUCGAUACUGGUCGACUCGAAGGCAGGAGAGGGUAGUGGAAUUCCCGGUGUAGUGGUGAAAUGCGUAGAUAUCGUGAGGAACACCAGAGGCGAAGGCGGUUACCUGGACAGUUACUGACGCUCAGGCACGAAAGCAUGGGGAGCAAAAGGG
This 253-nucleotide ribosomal RNA is filed under the name uncultured bacterium. RNAcentral's name for it is "partial 16S ribosomal RNA". It matches the Rfam family "Bacterial small subunit ribosomal RNA", at positions 524 to 776 of the family's 1533-position model. The record is from RNAcentral.